RNAcentral lists this ribosomal RNA (435 nucleotides) under Labyrinthulomycetes sp. RNAcentral describes it as "SSU rRNA". It matches the Rfam family "Eukaryotic small subunit ribosomal RNA", at positions 994 to 1449 of the family's 1831-position model. Lineage: Eukaryota; Bigyra. The record is from RNAcentral.
GGGAUCGAAGAUGAUUAGAUACCAUCGUAGUCUUAACCAUAAACUAUGCCGACUAGGGAUCGCGCGGGCUUCAUUUACGACUCGCGCAGCACCUUAUGCGAAAGCAAAGUCUUUGGGUUCCGGGGGGAGUAUGAUCGCAAGGUUGAAACUUAAAGGAAUUGACGGAAAGGCACAACAAGGUGUGGAGCCUGCGGCUCAAUUCGACUCAACUCGGGUAACCUUAGUAGGGCAGGACAAAGUAAGGAUUGACAGAUUGAGAGCUCUUUCUUGAUUCUUUGGGUGGUGGUGCAUGGCCGUUCUUGGUUGGUGGAGUGAUUUGUCUGGUUAAUUCCGAUAACGAACGAGACCCCAACCUGCUAACUAGACUGCGCUAUCUUCUCGAUAGCUCAGCGCUUCUUAGAGGGACAUUUCGGAUUUACCGGAAGGAAGUUUGAG